Long non-coding RNA from Tribolium castaneum (red flour beetle), 357 nucleotides. RefSeq lists it as uncharacterized. Lineage: Eukaryota; Metazoa; Arthropoda; Insecta; Coleoptera; Tenebrionidae. The transcript has 2 exons. The record is from RefSeq and is a predicted model, not a curated record.
GAAAAGUUUAAUUUUGUCACUGAAUUUGAUGAAGGAAAGUCUAUUUUUCUAACCGUGCUGCCUGCAGAAAGGACUUUUGUCAACCUCGAAGCAAGUUCAACGAUUGGUAAGACUUUCGUGGUGUUGGUAAGUAAGUAAGGAAAAUCUUUGUUUGUGGAGGAUCGAUGGGAGAAAAAAGGGAAAUUAGAUCAUUGCAACCAACUUAUCUCAUUACUUCGAGUUAAACAUCUCGUUUCUGACUUUGUCGUUUAAUUUCCUGUUUAACCCUUUAUCUCAAAGGCCUCAUCCGACGACAAAAAUGUUCACUGGGUCGGCCGUUCUGCGUAACAAACCCUCUAAUUAUAAUAUUUUGGUUAA